GAUGAACGCUGGCGGCGUGCCUAACACAUGCAAGUCGGGCGAACAGACGAGGAGCUUGCUCCUCUGACGUUAGCGGCGGACGGGUGAGUAACACGUGGAUAACCUACCUAUAAGACUGGGAUAACUUCGGGAAACCGGAGCUAAUACCGGAUAAUAUAUUGAACCGCAUGGUUCAAUAGUGAAAGACGGUUUUGCUGUCACUUAUAGAUGGAUCCGCGCCGCAUUAGCUAGUUGGUAAGGUAACGGCUUACCAAGGCGACGAUGCGUAGCCGACCUGAGAGGGUGAUCGGCCACACUGGAACUGAGACACGGUCCAGACUCCUACGGGAGGCAGCAGUAGGGAAUCUUCCGCAAUGGGCGAAAGCCUGACGGAGCAACGCCGCGUGAGUGAUGAAGGUCUUCGGAUCGUAAAACUCUGUUAUUAGGGAAGAACAAAUGUGUAAGUAACUAUGCACGUCUUGACGGUACCUAAUCAGAAAGCCACGGCUAACUACGUG
RNAcentral lists this ribosomal RNA (497 nucleotides) under uncultured bacterium. RNAcentral describes it as "partial 16S ribosomal RNA". It matches the Rfam family "Bacterial small subunit ribosomal RNA", at positions 28 to 507 of the family's 1533-position model. The record is from RNAcentral.